RNAcentral lists this ribosomal RNA (876 nucleotides) under uncultured Alphaproteobacteria bacterium. RNAcentral describes it as "bacterial SSU rRNA". It matches the Rfam family "Bacterial small subunit ribosomal RNA", at positions 28 to 953 of the family's 1533-position model. The record is from RNAcentral. Lineage: Bacteria; Pseudomonadati; Pseudomonadota; Alphaproteobacteria.
AACGAACGCUGGCGGCAGGCUUAACACAUGCAAGUCGAGCGCCCCGCAAGGGGAGCGGCGCACGGGUGAGUAACGCGUGGGAACGUGCCUUUUGGUACGGAAUAACAACGGGAAACUGUUGCUAAUACCGUAUACGCCCUCCGGGGGAAAGAUUUAUCGCCAAAAGAUCGGCCCGCGUCAGAUUAGCUAGUUGGUGAGGUAAUGGCUCACCAAGGCUCCGAUCUGUAGCUGUUCUGAGAGGAAGACCAGCCACACUGGAACUGAGACACGGUCCAGACUCCUACGGGAGGCAGCAGUGGGGAAUAUUGGACAAUGGGGGAAACCCUGAUCCAGCCAUGCCGCGUGAGUGAUGAAGGCCUUAGGGUUGUAAAGCUCUUUUACCAGGGAAGAUGAUGACGGUACCUGGAGAAUAAGCACCGGCUAACUUCGUGCCAGCAGCCGCGGUAAUACGAAGGGUGCUAGCGUUGUUCGGAAUCACUGGGCGUAAAGCGCGCGUAGGCGGCUUGCCAAGUCAGGGGUGAAAUGCCAAGGCUUAACCUUGGAACUGCCUUUGAAACUAGCAAGCUGGAGUGUUGGAGGGGAUAGCGGAAUUCCUAAUGUAGUGGUGAAAUACGUAGAUAUUAGGAGGAACACCGGUGGCGAAGGCGGCUAUCUGGACGACAACUGACGCUGAGGCGCGAAAGCGUGGGGAUCAAACAGGAUUAGAUACCCUGGUAGUCCACGCUGUAAACGAUGGAUGCUAGCCGUCCGGGGGGUUCCCCCUCGGUGGCGUAGCUAACGCGUUAAGCAUCCCGCCUGGGGAGUACGGUCGCAAGAUUAAAACUCAAAGGAAUUGACGGGGACCCGCACAAGCGGUGGAACAUGUGGUUUAAUUCC